AGCAGCCGCGGUAAUUCCAGCUCCAAUAGCGUAUAUUAAAGUUGUUGCAGUUAAAAAGCUCGUAGUUGAAUUUCGGGAUUGACACAUCGGUCGUGCCUUAAGGGGUAUGAACUGGUGUAGUCAAUUUCUCACCUUCUGGAGAACCGCGAUGCCCUUAAUUGGGUGUCACGGGGAACCAGGACCUUUACUUUGAAAAAAUUAGAGUGUUUAAAGCAGGCAUUUUGCUUGAAUACAUUAGCAUGGAAUAAUAAAAUAGGACGGCAUGAUUCUAUUUUGUUGGUUUCUAGGAUCACCGUAAUGAUUAAUAGGGGUAGUUGGGGGGCAUUAGUAUUCAAUUGUCAGAGGUGAAAUUCUUGGAUUUAUUGAAGACUAACUACUGCGAAAGCAUUUGCCAAGGAUGUUUUCAUUAAUCAAGAACGAAAGUUAGGGGAUCGAAGACGAAUCAGAUACCGUCGUAGUCUUAACCAUAAACUAUGCCGACUAGGAAUCAGACGAUGUUAAUUUUUAAUGUACUCGUUGG
This 520-nucleotide ribosomal RNA is filed under the name uncultured Glomeromycotina. RNAcentral describes it as "SSU rRNA". It matches the Rfam family "Eukaryotic small subunit ribosomal RNA", at positions 569 to 1082 of the family's 1831-position model. The record is from RNAcentral. Lineage: Eukaryota; Fungi; Glomeromycota.